This 2003-nucleotide unclassified non-coding RNA is filed under the name Daphnia magna. RNAcentral's name for it is "uPF0415 protein C7orf25 homolog, transcript variant X2". Lineage: Eukaryota; Metazoa; Arthropoda; Branchiopoda; Diplostraca; Daphniidae. The record is from RNAcentral.
AGCAGACGAACUGUAACCGCGAAUUCAAUGCUGACGAAAGCGACUUGUAAAAAAUCCUAGUAACAUUAGUUUUACCCUCCUCAUUUGGUUCAUUGGUUGACCAUCGCUCUAUAUAUUUAAAAUGGCAUCCGAUAUCGAAGAUUUGAAGAAUCUCGUAUUGUGUAAAGUUCAAGAAGGCGAAAAUCUCUUGCAACAAGUGCACUGUCAUUUUGCUAACGUGGAGGGCAGUAAAAAACUGGAAAGACGCAUUCGUUCUGAAAUUAAGUUCUUACAAAGAUUACUUGAUGUUGAAAUGGAAGUAAAGAAGGAGCACAUGUUAUCUAGCAAUUUAGGUUCAUUGGCUGCUGUUGUGGACAUUCUUCAUCAAUGUGAAAGCCCUGCAGCUAUCUUUAAACCUUUCAGUUUAAAAAAUGGCUCCAGUAACCGCAUUGAGGUGGAUGUUGUAUCCAAAGGAGGAAAAGUUUGGCACAAAGCAAUCGCUCGGAAAGCAGAGGCAUUGGAAGACAUAUCUAAAGGAAGAACAUCGUGUGGCCAGAAAUCUGUGAUUGAUCAAGCAUCAGCAUACAUAAAAUGUGCAAGACUGCAUCCUCAUCUGUUUAAUCCUCCUCAGGUUGUCUUCCACUUCUUCAACAGCAUCAGCUCAUCAAUUGUUGUGAAACUGAAGAAACGGGGAGUGGAGGUUGAGGGAGAAAUCAGACCGAUAAUGGAAAAUUCGUUUUCCGAAAGCGACACUAGCAGCAGCUGUGAUAGUGAUGAAGACGACAGCGAGGGCUAUGAAGGAUACAACGAAAUAAAUGAAGGGAUGUCAACUUCACCUCAUUCCAACCUGGAUAAUCUCAGGCAAAGUGACAAGCUCUUCCUCGACAUCACUUGCAUGGUGGCAUACGUCUCUUCGAUGACCAAUGGUGGAGCCAAUUAUAUUUUCCCUAGAGCGAUCUAUAACCAGCAGGCCGAGUGGGAGCGUUCAUCUCCCGCCAAGCCCAAGCUAGAUGCUCUGUUUGGAGAUAAACAGCUAGUCACUUGCCGCGAAGCCCUUACCGAUUUUCAAACUCUGGUGGAACGAAUGGGAGGUACUGGAGAGAAACAGCGAAUGAGGGAACUGAUUGCCCGUUUGGAUAUUGUUGAAGAUACGCCUUGUGGAAGAGUUGCCCAGUUGCAGCUAACGAGCAACGUCAAAACGAGAUCAAGAUUGAUUUUUUGCACUGCCGACAAAUUGGGCAUCGUCGUUGUUACAGCCAACACCGGUUUCGUCCGAUCAGCGGCUAGCCAGGGAAUAGAAAUAGCUCAUUUUGUGCACGAGCCAAGGGUUUUAACGGAGCAACAGGAGCCUUUUUCAAUUCCUCUAAAGACUCCCGAUAGUGCGUCAAAUGUGUGAGGAUUGCCGUAAUCCUUUUUGGGACGCAUUCUUGUCCUCUUCAAGUGUGUCGUCAUAUUCCAAAGUGUAAGACAAUCCCUCGUCAGUUCGAUACCGGUACUGUCGAUUUCCCUCGCCAUUUUGAAGAUUUGUGUGUUUAACUCACAGGAACAAAAGAGCUUAAGGUGCCAGCCAACAAUUUUCGUUUGCAAAAGCAGAAUUCAGGAGAUUAGAAGGUUGAGCCGAGAAAGCUUCUCGAUGUCAUUCCUGUGGUGUGAUGAGGUAAGCCCGAAAAUGUUGACAGAGGAAGGCCCAAGUUCUAGAGCUACCGCCAUCGAAGAUUUAUAGCGGACGAUUUAAUGUUUUUGCUUGGUAGGUCGAAUGGUGAUAAACAAAAAUCGGGAAAAUCCUCUGAUUGUAUGCCGUAGAUGCAUAGAGUCUGUGUUGCGUAAUUCCCUUCACCCUCGUCUCUUCUAUAAAGAGGUUGGGUUGGGCUCUUGAUUGUAAUGAAACUGUUGUCACACAGUAUUUAGCUCUACCAGCAGCAACUGCGUUUAACUUUUCGUGUACCCGAUCGAUUCCAUUUGGGACUUUGACCAAAGAAAAAAAAAAAAAAAAGAACUUGGGUGCAAGGAUGAAAGAGAGAAAU